Molecule: ribosomal RNA, 442 nt
Filed under: ascomycete sp. Em2
Lineage: Eukaryota; Fungi; Ascomycota
Description: SSU rRNA
Rfam family: Eukaryotic small subunit ribosomal RNA
Source: RNAcentral
AAUGGCUCAUUAAAUCAGUUAUCGUUUAUUUGAUAGUACCUUUACCUGGAUAACCGUGGUAAUUCUAGAGCUAAUACAUGCUAAAAAUCCCGACUUCGGAAGGGAUGUAUUUAUUAGAUAAAAAACCAAUGCCCUCCGGGGCUCCUUGGUGAAUCAUAAUAACUUAACGAAUCGCAUGGCCUUGCGCCGGCGAUGGUUCAUUCAAAUUUCUGCCCUAUCAACUUUCGAUGGUAAGGUCUUGGCUUACCAUGGUCUCAACGGGUAACGGGGAAUUAGGGUUCUAUUCCGGAGAGGGAGCCUGAGAAACGGCUACCACAUCCAAGGAAGGCAGCAGGCGCGCAAAUUACCCAAUCCCGACACGGGGAGGUAGUGACAAUAAAUACUGAUACAGGGCUCUUUCGGGUCUUGUAAUUGGAAUGAGUACAAUCUAAAUCCCUUAACG